UACGGAGGGGGCUAGCGUUGUUCGGAAAUACUGGGCGUAAAGCGAACGUAGGCGGCUUGGCAAGUCAGGGGUGAAAUCCCAGUGCUCAACACUGGAACUGCCUUUGAAACUGCCAGGCUUGAAUCCUGGAGAGGCGAGUGGAAUUCCGAGUGUAGAGGUGAAAUUCGUAGAUAUUCGAAAGAACACCAGUGGCGAAGGCGACUCGCUGGACAGGUAUUGACGCUGAGGUUCGAAAGCGUGGGGAGCAAACAGG
Molecule: ribosomal RNA, 253 nt
Filed under: uncultured bacterium
Lineage: Bacteria
Description: partial 16S ribosomal RNA
Rfam family: Bacterial small subunit ribosomal RNA
Source: RNAcentral